Molecule: long non-coding RNA, 353 nt
Filed under: Homo sapiens (human)
Lineage: Eukaryota; Metazoa; Chordata; Mammalia; Primates; Hominidae
Description: HSALNT0392434
Source: RNAcentral
AUCCUUUGGCUCCUGGCUGUGGCUGGGGACACUGGAAAUGCCCCUCUGGAGGCCACCACCAAAAUGGGCUCAGGACAGAACUUCUUUUCCCAGCUCAGAGCAGACAGCUCUAUGGCUUGUCUUCCCUCCAUUGCUGGGACACUACCACUCUGUGAGGAGAAGAAGUAUGAAGUGCUUGCUUGGACCUUUCUACUGUGCUUAUUAUUCUGUCUUCUCCUCAUGGCAAAUUUCUUUUUUAUUUUCAUUUAUUAAAUACAGAAGAAAUAUUUCGCUGAAGACACAGGAAACCCUAUUUUGUAUAAACGAGGGAUUGCAAGAGAUUGUUGGAAGAUCAAAGAUGGGUGAAUUGGAGG